AAUAUGAAUCCAUUCUUUGGUGCCCCAUACUGGGGAGAAUAGGGAAACCGGUGUAAUUCCGGUGCGCACCCAUCACUGUGAACGAUGAGCCUUGACUAGAUCCACUGGCGCUUGCUGGGAAGGAGGUCUAAGGCGCUUGAGUCGAAGCCAGGAGACCUGCCAAGAAUGAAGAAAGCCU
Molecule: non-coding RNA, 178 nt
Filed under: Desulfitobacterium dichloroeliminans
Lineage: Bacteria; Bacillati; Bacillota; Clostridia; Eubacteriales; Desulfitobacteriaceae
Source: RNAcentral